Long non-coding RNA from Cydia amplana, 666 nucleotides. RefSeq lists it as uncharacterized. The record is from RefSeq and is a predicted model, not a curated record. The transcript is spliced from 2 exons. NCBI's taxonomy places the organism in Eukaryota, Metazoa, Arthropoda, Insecta, Lepidoptera, Tortricidae.
GGUUAACUCGUCUAUUGAUUGAUUUUAUUUUAGGCAUAGAAAAAGUGCACUAAUUGGAGUAAUACUUGGUAGUGAAUACUGCAAACUAUACCUACAUGUAAACUUGCGGUAACCCAGUUGUCAAGCGUUAAAGUCGAGUUGCCACAUAACCCAAGGCAUCGUACGCCAUCUACUCUAGAUGCCUAAUUAAGCUUAGAAUAUAUUGCUCCGAUUCGUGCGUUUUUUUUUAUUUCACCGACUAUGAUUUUGAGUAAAUAUACUUAAUUUAUAAUGUAGAAUUUAGCAUCCGCAAGUCGAUGUAUAUUUUAUAAAACUUUAGUACAUAUUUCGUUGUGCUUGUUCAGUUUGCUUGGCGGCUCCAUCAGUGCGACAUGUCAUUCCAUCAGGUAGUAAGCGGUGAGUUUACGAAAUUAUGGCGGAGAGGGAUUUUAGCCCGCUCUUUUAUUUAUACAUACCUAUUUAUAAGUAGAUAUUUAAAUGAAUGUGUGCAAUAUAAUCAAAUGUUACGUUAGGUGUAGAGUCAAUAUACAUUGCGAUGCUGUAGGCUUGGCGAAGCAAGGGUAUAAUUGCCGGAGUGUUUUGUUAUUAUAAUCCCAGAUUGGCUUGUUCAUCAAACUCGAACAAUUACAUAUUCAUAUGGGAAAAGAAAGUUUCGUGAUGUGUGCA